GAAAAUUAAGAAACUGUUUCUUAACUUUUAACUAAAAAGGCUAAAAACCGGUUUUUAAAUAAGGACUUUAAGAACCGGUUUUUAGCUUUUUUUAGUUAAAAGUUAAGAAACAGUUUCUUAACUUCC
Molecule: non-coding RNA, 126 nt
Organism: Brassica napus (rape)
Lineage: Eukaryota; Viridiplantae; Streptophyta; Magnoliopsida; Brassicales; Brassicaceae
Source: Rfam